RNAcentral lists this ribosomal RNA (798 nucleotides) under Clostridioides difficile. Its description in RNAcentral is "partial 23S ribosomal RNA". It matches the Rfam family "Bacterial large subunit ribosomal RNA", at positions 1918 to 2714 of the family's 2925-position model. The record is from RNAcentral. Lineage: Bacteria; Bacillati; Bacillota; Clostridia; Peptostreptococcales; Peptostreptococcaceae.
CCCCAGUAAACGGCGGCCGUAACUAUAACGGUCCUAAGGUAGCGAAAUUCCUUGUCGGGUAAGUUCCGACCCGCACGAAAGGCGUAACGAUUUGGGCACUGUCUCAACAACAGACUCGGUGAAAUUGUAAUUCCGGUGAAGAUGCCGGAUACCUGCGACAGGACGGAAAGACCCCAUGGAGCUUUACUGUAGCUUGACAUUGGGUCUUGGUACUACAUGUACAGGAUAGGUGGGAGGCUUUGAAACCAGGACGCCAGUUUUGGCGGAGCCAUCCUUGGGAUACCACCCUUGUAGUACUGGGACUCUAACCAUAGGCCAUGAAUCUGGUCUUGGGACACUGUCAGGUGGGCAGUUUGACUGGGGCGGUCGCCUCCCAAAAGGUAACGGAGGCGCUCAAAGGUUCUCUCAGUACGGUCGGAAAUCGUACGUAGAGUGUAAAGGCAAAAGAGAGCUUGAUUGCAAGACAUACAGGUCGAGCAAGGAUGAAAAUCGGACUUAGUGAUCCGGUGGUUCUGCGUGGAAGGGCCAUCGCUCAACGGAUAAAAGCUACCCUGGGGAUAACAGGCUUAUCUCCCCCAAGAGUCCACAUCGACGGGGAGGUUUGGCACCUCGAUGUCGGCUCAUCACAUCCUGGGGCUGUAGUAGGUCCCAAGGGUUGGGCUGUUCGCCCAUUAAAGUGGUACGCGAGCUGGGUUCAGAACGUCGUGAGACAGUUCGGUCCCUAUCCGUCGCAGGCGUAGGAAAUUUGAGAAGACCUGUCCUUAGUACGAGAGGACCGGGAUGGACGUACCUCUGGUG